UGCGCAGGCGGUUUGUUAAGUCUGCUGUGAAAGCCCCGGGCUCAACCUGGGAAUUGCAGUGGAUACUGGCAAGCUAGAGUGUGGUAGAGGAAGGUGGAAUUCCCGGUGUAGCGGUGAAAUGCGUAGGGAUCGGGAGGAACACCAGUGGCGAAGGCGGCCUUCUGGACCAACACUGACGCUCAGGCACGAAAGCGUGGGGAGCAAACA
Molecule: ribosomal RNA, 207 nt
Filed under: uncultured bacterium
Lineage: Bacteria
Description: partial 16S ribosomal RNA
Rfam family: Bacterial small subunit ribosomal RNA
Source: RNAcentral